UACGGAGGAUGCGAGCGUUAUCCGGAUUUAUUGGGUUUAAAGGGUGCGCAGGCGGGACGCCAAGUCAGCGGUCAAAUUUCGGGGCUCAACCCCGACCUGCCGUUGAAACUGUGUGGCUGGAGACGGAGAGAAGUAGGCGGAAUGCGCGGUGUAGCGGUGAAAUGCAUAGAUAUCGCGCAGAACUCCGAUUGCGAAGGCAGCAUACCGGCGCCCAACUGACGCUCAUGCACGAAAGCGUGGGUAUCGAA
Molecule: ribosomal RNA, 248 nt
Filed under: uncultured Muribaculaceae bacterium
Lineage: Bacteria; Pseudomonadati; Bacteroidota; Bacteroidia; Bacteroidales; Muribaculaceae
Description: partial 16S ribosomal RNA
Rfam family: Bacterial small subunit ribosomal RNA
Source: RNAcentral